UGGAUCCAGACUUUGAUAUGGCUCAGGAUGAACGCGGGCGGCGUGCUUAACACAUGCAAGUCGAACGGAGGACCCUUGAAGGAGUUUUCGGACAACUGAUAGGAAUCCUUAGUGGCGGACGGGUGAGUAACGCGUGAGUAACCUGCCUUGGAGUGGGGAAUAACAGCUGGAAACAGCUGCUAAUACCGCAUAAUAUAUCUGAAUCGCAUGGUUCUGGAUAUCAAAGAUUUAUCGCUCUGAGAUGGACUCGCGUCUGAUUAGCUAGUUGGCGGGGCAACGGCCCACCAAGGCGACGAUCAGUAGCCGGACUGAGAGGUUGGCCGGCCACAUUGGGACUGAGACACGGCCCAGACUCCUACGGGAGGCAGCAGUGGGGAAUAUUGGGCAAUGGGCGCAAGCCUGACCCAGCAACGCCGCGUGAAGGAAGAAGGCUUUCGGGUUGUAAACUUCUUUUCUCAGGGACGAAUAGAUGACGGUACCUGAGGAAUAAGCCACGGCUAACUACGUGCCAGCAGCCGCGGUAAUACGUAGGUGGCAAGCGUUAUCCGGAUUUACUGGGUGUAAAGGGCGUGUAGGCGGGACUGCAAGUCAGAUGUGAAAACCACGGGCUCAACCUGUGGCCUGCAUCUGAAACUGUAGUUCUUGAGUACUGGAGAGGCAGACGGAAUUCCUAGUGUAGCGGUGAAAUGCGUAGAUAUUAGGAGGAACACCAGUGGCGAAGGCGGUCUGCUGGACAGCAACUGACGCUGAGGCGCGAAAGCGUGGGGAGCAAACAGGAUUAGAUACCCUGGUAGUCCACGCUGUAAACGAUGGAUACUAGGUGUGGGGGGACUGACCCCCUCCGUGCCGCAGUUAACACAAUAAGUAUCCCACCUGGGGAGUACGAUCGCAAGGUUGCAACUCAAAUGAAUUGACGGA
This 918-nucleotide ribosomal RNA is filed under the name uncultured Bacillota bacterium. RNAcentral's name for it is "bacterial SSU rRNA". It matches the Rfam family "Bacterial small subunit ribosomal RNA", at positions 1 to 917 of the family's 1533-position model. Lineage: Bacteria; Bacillati; Bacillota. The record is from RNAcentral.